RNAcentral lists this long non-coding RNA (235 nucleotides) under Gallus gallus (chicken). The record is from RNAcentral. Lineage: Eukaryota; Metazoa; Chordata; Aves; Galliformes; Phasianidae.
AUGGAUCUGAGUUCUGGAAAUUCCAAGUCACGGGUCCUUCCUCAUUGCACUUCAGCCUUAACUCCUCCCCUUUGUUCACAACCAGCGAGGAUUCUUCAUGAGGCACUGAACCACCUGCGGGGAUGAGGCUCAGCAGCAGCACGGCGUGCGCCAGCUCCCAGGCGAGGUGCGCGCCCUCCAUGCCGCCCCCCCGAGCCCGCCGCGCCGCGGCUGCCUCUCGCACCACCCGGCGCGC